This 495-nucleotide unclassified non-coding RNA is filed under the name uncultured Paraglomus. RNAcentral describes it as "SSU rRNA". It matches the Rfam family "Eukaryotic small subunit ribosomal RNA", at positions 591 to 1092 of the family's 1831-position model. The record is from RNAcentral. Lineage: Eukaryota; Fungi; Glomeromycota; Glomeromycetes; Paraglomerales; Paraglomeraceae.
CCAAUAGCGUAUAUUAAAGUUGUUGUGGUUAAAAAGCUCGUAGUUGAACCUUGGGCCUGGCUGGCCGGUCCGCCUCACCGCGUGUACUGGUCCGGCCGGGCCUUUCCCUCUGUGGAACCUCAUGCCCUUCACUGGGUGUGACGGGGAAGCAGGACUUUUACUGUGAAAAAAUUAGAGUGCUCCAAGCAGGCCUAUGCUCGAAUACAUUAGCAUGGAAUAAUAAAAUAGGACGUGCGGUUCUAUUUUGUUGGUUUCUAGGACCGCCGUAAUGAUUAAUAGGGCCAGUCGGGGGCAUCAGUAUUCAAUUGUCAGAGGUGAAAUUCUUGGAUUUAUUGAAGACUAACUACUGCGAAAGCAUUUGCCAAGGAUGUUUUCAUUAAUCAGGAACGAAAGUUAGGGGAUCGAAGACGAUCAGAUACCGUCGUAGUCUUAACCAUAAACUAUGCCGACUAGGGAUCGGACGAUGUUAUUUUUUGACUCGUUCGGCACCUUACA